CCUAAAAUGGUGAAACCGCGAACGGCUCAUUACAACAGCUACUAUUCGCUUGAUGUUGUUGUCCUACAUGGAUAACUGUGGUAAUUCUAGAGCUAAUACAUGCACCAAAGCUCCGAUUUUUGACGAGCGCAUCUAUUAGAACAAAACCAAUCGGGUCGACUUGUCGGCCCGUGGUUCGGUGACUCUGAAUAACUGAGGCUGAUCGCACGGUCCAGCACCGGCGACAUGUCUAUCAAGUAUCUGCCUUAUCAACUGUCGAUGGUAGUUUACGUGCCUACCAUGGUUGUAACGGGUAACGGAGAAUAAGGGUUCGACUCCGGAGAGGGAGCCUGAGAAACGGCUACCACAUCCAAGGAAGGCAGCAGGCGCGCAAAUUACCCACUCUCAGCACGAGGAGGUAGUGACGAAAAAUAACGGGACCGUUCUCUAUGAGGCCGGUUAUCGCAAUGGGUACAAUCUAAACCCUUUAACGAGGAUCUAUGAGAGGGCAAGUCUGGUGCCAGCAGCCGCGGUAAUUCCAGCUCUCAAAGUGUAUAUCGUCAUUGCUGCGGUUAAAAAGCUCGUAGUUGGAUCUGCGCCCGAGGACCCGGUCCGCCCACUGGGCGUGAACUGGGCUCCGAGGCUAAUUGUGCUGAUCGUCCCUUCGUUGCCUUCACCGGUUGCGUUGGGUGGUUAGCGAGUUUACUUUGAAAAAAUUAGAGUGCUUCAAACAGGCUAGCGCCUGCAUAUUUGUGCAUGGAAUAAUGGAAUAGGAUCUCGGUUCUAUUUUGUUGGUUUUCAGAGCGGAGAUAAUGGUUAAGAGGGACGGACGGGGGCAUUCGUAUCGCUGCGGAGAGGUGAAAUUCU
RNAcentral lists this ribosomal RNA (846 nucleotides) under Nematoda environmental sample. RNAcentral's name for it is "SSU rRNA". It matches the Rfam family "Eukaryotic small subunit ribosomal RNA", at positions 72 to 920 of the family's 1831-position model. The record is from RNAcentral. Lineage: Eukaryota; Metazoa; Nematoda.